CGUCACACUAUCAUUAACUGAAUCCAUAGGUUAAUGAGGCGAACCGGGGGAACUGAAACAUCUAAGUACCCCGAGGAAAAGAAAUCAACCGAGAUUCCCCCAGUAGCGGCGAGCGAACGGGGAGGAGCCCAGAGCCUGAAUCAGCAUGUGUGUUAGUGGAAGCGUCUGGAAAGGCGCGCGAUACAGGGUGACAGCCCCGUACACAAAAGCGCAUGUGCUGUGAGCUCGAUGAGUAGGGCGGGACACGUGGUAUCCUGUCUGAAUAUGGGGGGACCAUCCUCCAAGGCUAAAUACUCCUGACUGACCGAUAGUGAACCAGUACCGUGAGGGAAAGGCGAAAAGAACCCCGGCGAGGGGAGUGAAAAAGAACCUGAAACCGUGUACGUACAAGCAGUGGGAGCCCCAC
RNAcentral lists this ribosomal RNA (406 nucleotides) under Salmonella enterica subsp. enterica serovar Mississippi. RNAcentral's name for it is "partial 23S ribosomal RNA". It matches the Rfam family "Bacterial large subunit ribosomal RNA", at positions 141 to 585 of the family's 2925-position model. The record is from RNAcentral. Lineage: Bacteria; Pseudomonadati; Pseudomonadota; Gammaproteobacteria; Enterobacterales; Enterobacteriaceae.